RNAcentral lists this transfer RNA (74 nucleotides) under Actinomycetota bacterium. RNAcentral's name for it is "tRNA-Asn". It matches the Rfam family "tRNA". From Rfam's summary of the family: Transfer RNA (tRNA) molecules are approximately 80 nucleotides in length. Their secondary structure includes four short double-helical elements and three loops (D, anti-codon, and T loops). Lineage: Bacteria; Bacillati; Actinomycetota. The record is from RNAcentral.
UCCGGGGUAGCUCAAUUUGGCAGAGCAUCCGGCUGUUAACCGGAGGGUUGCGGGUUCGAGUCCCGCCCCCGGAG